RNAcentral lists this ribosomal RNA (301 nucleotides) under Klebsiella pneumoniae IS10. RNAcentral describes it as "LSU rRNA". It matches the Rfam family "Bacterial large subunit ribosomal RNA", at positions 2630 to 2925 of the family's 2925-position model. The record is from RNAcentral. Lineage: Bacteria; Pseudomonadati; Pseudomonadota; Gammaproteobacteria; Enterobacterales; Enterobacteriaceae.
UUCGGUCCCUAUCUGCCGUGGGCGCUGGAGAAUUGAGGGGGGCUGCUCCUAGUACGAGAGGACCGGAGUGGACGCAUCACUGGUGUUCGGGUUGUCAUGCCAAUGGCACUGCCCGGUAGCUAAAUGCGGAAGAGAUAAGUGCUGAAAGCAUCUAAGCACGAAACUUGCCCCGAGAUGAGUUCUCCCUGAGACUUUAAGUCUCCUGAAGGAACGUUGAAGACGACGACGUUGAUAGGCCGGGUGUGUAAGCGCAGCGAUGCGUUGAGCUAACCGGUACUAAUGAACCGUGAGGCUUAACCUU